Molecule: ribosomal RNA, 238 nt
Filed under: uncultured bacterium
Lineage: Bacteria
Description: partial 16S ribosomal RNA
Rfam family: Bacterial small subunit ribosomal RNA
Source: RNAcentral
UACGGGGGAGCAAGCGUUGUUCGGAUUUACUGGGCGUAAAGGGCGCGUAGGCGGUCACUACGAGUCAGCUGUGAAAUCUCCGGGCUUAACUUGGAACGGUCAGCUGAUACUGUCGGACUAGAGUGCAGAAGGGGCAACUGGAAUUCUCGGUGUAGCGGUGAAAUGCGUAGAUAUCGAGGGGAACACCUGCGGCGAAGGCGGUUGCUGGGCUGACACUGACGCUGAGGCGCGAAAGCUA